RNAcentral lists this small RNA (82 nucleotides) under Marmota monax (woodchuck). Lineage: Eukaryota; Metazoa; Chordata; Mammalia; Rodentia; Sciuridae. The record is from RNAcentral.
GCUGGGCAUGGUGGUUCAUGCCUGUAAUCCUGGCUACUUGGAAGCUAAGGCAGCAGGACUGCAAGUUCAGGGCCAGCCUCAG